RNAcentral lists this ribosomal RNA (468 nucleotides) under uncultured bacterium. RNAcentral describes it as "partial 16S ribosomal RNA". It matches the Rfam family "Bacterial small subunit ribosomal RNA", at positions 28 to 507 of the family's 1533-position model. The record is from RNAcentral.
GACGAACGCUGGCGGCGUGCUUAACACAUGCAAGUCGAACGGAAAGGCCCUGCUCUUGUGGGGUGCUCGAGUGGCGAACGGGUGAGUAACACGUGUGUAACCUGCCCUUGACUUUGGGAUAACUUCAGGAAACUGGGGCUAUUAUCGGAUAUGAGCUCCUGCUGCAUGGUGGGGGUUGGAAAGUUUCGGCGGUUGGGGAUGGACUCGCGGCCUAUCAGCUUGUUGGUGGGGUAGUGGCUUACCAAGGCUUUGACGGGUAGCCGGCCUGAGAGGGUGACCGGCCACAUUGGGACUGAGAUACGGCCCAGACGCCUACGGGAGGCAGCGGUGGAGAAUAUUGCGCAAUGGGCGGAAGCCUGAUGCAGCAACGCCGCGUGCGGAAUGACGGCCUUCGGGUUGUAAACCGCUUUCGCCUGUAACGAAGCGUGAGUGACGGUAAUGAGUAAAGAAGCAACGGCUAACUACGUG